This 381-nucleotide unclassified non-coding RNA is filed under the name fungal sp. RNAcentral's name for it is "partial internal transcribed spacer region". The stretch from base 1 to 46 matches the Rfam family "Eukaryotic small subunit ribosomal RNA", at positions 1786 to 1831 of the family's 1831-position model. The record is from RNAcentral. Lineage: Eukaryota; Fungi.
AAGUCGUAACAAGGUUUCCGUAGGUGAACCUGCGGAAGGAUCAUUACAACGUAUCCACGUAAACUCGUGAACUGUUCCCAAUGGAGUAAAAACACACUUGUGGAUGAAGUUAAUGUUCGCUAGCUUUUCGCUGGUGGAGUUGCCGGAUCUUUUGUUUCUGGCAACUGAGAAGCUGUCGAGCGCCGGCACUGCCGGGACUUCGUUUACUCUGUUGCGGUUUUGCCCAUCAGCACCGUUUUACCAUUAUUAACCCUUUGAAAUCUGAACUGACCUCAAAACUCUGCUGACGUCCUGGUUGGCUUGGGUCACGGACUAGCCGCAGCGCGAGUUUGUACAUUACGAAACAAAGAACAACUCUUAGCAACGGAUAUCUUGGUUCUC